ACAUGUCAGUUCAGUAGCCCCUCCCUUAUCUAAGAUUUUACUUUACUUGGUUUCACUUAACCACGGUCAACCAUGGUCUCAAAAUAUUAAAUGGGAAAUUCCUGCAGCAAAUAUUUCCUAAACCUUAAAUUGUGGUCCGUUCUGAGCAGCAUGAUAAAAUCUCUCAGUGUCUCUCUCCAUUCUGCCAGGGAGACAUUAUUAUAAAUGAAUGUACAAUUAAUAAAUAUAUUAGUGCUAAGUGUCAGGAAGAAGAUUUUCUAAAAGACUAGUUGACCUGUUCUGGUCUCUUUAAGAAAAUGAUCGAAUGGACAGUAGAGGGAUAAAUAGGCAUCAGUAGGUCAAAAGGACAGGGACAAUGUGUGGGUGAGGGAGCUUUCUGGAAGGAGAGAAUCAUAAUAAUGAAAGUGAAGAAAGCUCAGUUGCCUGGGGGAUCUGAAAAUGUUCAGUCUAUGAGAGAAGUGGGGGAAGAUGUUCACCAGCCUGUGUUGUACUUUAUCUACUGAUCCUGAAGGGCCUUGUAGUUCGUGACGGUGAUCUUGGAUUUUAUUCCAGGGGCCUUGAAAGUCUUUUUUUAUAAAACAAAAGAGAGACAUAUUCAGUUUGGUGUUUCACUAGCUUAUUCUGAUGGCUGUGGGGAGAAAGAAUUAAGGAGAAGUUGAAGUGGCCAUGGCAUUUACUGCAGUUCAGGUAAAGGAUUGCCAUGGCUGGGAAUGAGAAUGGAAAGACAGGGAUGAAGUACAGAGGUACUUCAAAAACAAAGGCCAAAGGGAUUCAUGGUUGAUUAGAUAAAUGCAGAAAGCAAAGUUGUAGAUAGAUCUAAGAUGAAUGCAAGAUGUUUGGCUUAUAUAACUGUAGGGUUUAGAAUAACCAUUCACUGUGGAAGAAUUUUGGAGGCAGACCUGGUUUAUGAGAGAAUAUUUUGAUUCUGUACAGUUGAUAUAUAUGCAAAGGCAUUGCUAUUAUAGGCACUGGCCUUGGGUAAGUGCCAGUUCCAUUCAGCUCAGAAGCAAGAUCUAGAGACUGUGUCUAUUUUUUUUCUAAGAUCAAAUUUUCAGAAUCUUAAGGAAAAUCAACUAAUUAUGAAGGUCCAUUUUAUAAGAUCAAGGUACCCAUUCUUGGCCUAUUUUUAUACAGAAAAUGCUUAAAGGCAAUAUUCCAAUUGAUUAGGCCAUUUGGCUUUUAGGAAUAAACCAUUUAGUACUAAGCAUUUUUUGUAGCCAAUCACCUGUAAAUUUAUCCGAGGCACACAGUAAGGAUGAUGAUGAUAUUUAGUAGUCAUUGAGUCCUUACUAUGUGCCACAUGCUGUUCUAUGUGCUUUAUGUAUAUUAGUUCAUUUGUCUUCCACCACCUUAGGGACUGUUACUGCCACUAUUUUACAGGUGAAGAAAAUGAGGCAUAAAAUUCUUCCAUACUUGCCUCUUAACUAGUACAUGAAAGAACUAAGAUUUGAAUACAGACAGUACAGUCAUGCAGUAUAAGCUCUUAGACACCUCACUAUAUAAUUGGCCUGUUGUGAAUUCUAGGUCUCAGAGGCCAUAAGAAUUUGACUGGAAAAAGGCAAAGUUUGGAGGGGAAUGGAGUUGUGAUUUGGGGACAAACUGCUUUUAAAAAAGCCAGAACUUUCUUAUAAAGUAUAAUCCUAGGUCCCUUAGUCAAGCUGAUGUUUCCCAGAGUGAGUGACCCUGGGUGAGAGGUUGGUGAUCCUUAUUCCCUGGGAGUCAGAAAGAGUCCAGUCCCUCAGGGAUCUCUACACUAGGGAUUAUGUGAAAACUAUAUCAUAUUCAUUACUGUAUUUGCAAUGUCCAAUAGAGGGCUUGAUGAAUGACACAUAUUAAGUGUCUAGGGGAUACACCAAUGAAUCAAUUAUUUGUUCUAAUAAUUAGAAGUAGUUCCCAGGUAUCUUUUUUUCUUUCCUGGUAAAGUGUUGAGGAAGAAGAUAAACUGUGUUAGGCUGAAGACUGAGUCUUUAAUUCUCACGAGAUAGAAAGUUAAGAAAAAGGAAAAAACAAACAAUAGCAAAACAUCAGGUUAUGAUGAGCUUGCGGUGGAUUCCAAAUAGAGUUACUAAUUUCUUAAUGACAUGUAAAGAUCAAAUUCGCUUUUGGAAAAUUACAACAUUUUGUAAUUAUUUAUACAUACUUCACCCCUAAAUUCUUCACUUAAGCCUUCUGUCAUCUGCAGAGGAAGCUGAGGUUAUCAGCGAUUUAUAAAGGAGGUAAACAGAACAAGCAGAGAAGCGAUUUGCUCACUUGGUGAACUGAAUGAAGUGGAGUGGAAUUCCUUAAUCUCAUGACCUUUUAUCAGUGUUUUAAAUUCCUAGUUGACCAUGCUGAAUCUUGAGUAAAAGACACUUCCCACUGUCAUGCACUAUAAGAAAGCUAUUAUAGUGCUCAGUUUGGUGUAACUUGUCACUUUCAUUUUUAAGUGCUUCAGGCCUGUUCAUUUCUCGCUUUACUAGCUCUACUCAGUAUGCCAUAGAUUCCGGGGACUGUUGGACAGUGCCUUCUGAGUGAACAGACACUUUGAAUUUUGUGAGUUGGCCAGCCUUCAUAUUAGGGACUACGUAUUUUGAAGUACAGUCUUACAGUAUCAGUUUGGUAUUUUAAAUAUAAGAAUUCCAUAGUAUUUAUCUAGUGUGAGAUUAUUACUUAACUGGAAUUUGUAAUAAGACCAAAAGUAAAAAUAUUUCUUCAAAUAUACCUUAUCUUGUUCCAAAUCUUGUAAUUGCUAAAGAAUUUUACCAAAGUUACCAGGUUUAGUUUCAUGUAUUACUCUGUGAGUCUUUUAAAUGCUUUACUUUUCAAUGAAGGCACAUAAUGCAGCUAGAGUACUUAUUUGAUCUUACUUGGGAAAUAGCUUUGUCUUUCUGCUGAUGCAGAUUUAUUGCUGUAACUUACUUUAAAUUUAAUCAAUUUUAAAUUCAGUUACUUAUAGAUUUCCUAUUGAAAGCUUUCUACAGGACUGGUGCACUGCUUUGUUUGAGGCCCUAAAAGAAAUAUUACACCUAUAGGCAGACAGAAAUAGAGGAAGAGAGAAGAGAAAAUCAAAAGACAAACAGGAAGUAAAGUAUAUUUUCCUAAAUGUAAUUUACCUAAAUACACAUUAAAUGAUAGAUUUCAUUGUAUAUCAUGUUACAAAGUAUAAAUUUGUUUAAGUUUAAAGAAAUUUUCUUAAGUUCAAACCUGCAUGUGUUGGAUGUUGACUUAUAAAUUGAGGCAAUUAGGAUAUGAUUAAUUUAUCAUACACUCAAGUUGUUUUUAUGUUUUUUAAAAAUGACAUAGCAGUUACAUCUGCAGAGGGAACAAUAUAUGCAUUUUUACAGAAAAAUGGAAGAUGAAUUCUUUAAUCGACAUUAGGAUUUUCUGAUCAUUAGCAUGGAGGUGAUAUGAGGGAUAAAUUGGAGAAAAAGGUGAGUUAAGGUGAUAGAGACUGAUUCAAAAUAUCGAUACCGUAAUAUACCAUUUGUAGUGAAAUUGAUUUCUUGGUCUAGUAUAUUUUGCUUAUACACCUCAUAUUGAUGUGUGAAGAAGCAUCCUGCAUUCUGUGACUAUAAUUUCUUACUCAAAAACUUUAAUAAAUAGAAAAAUAUAUCUUGUGACCCAUUUCUAGUUUUCCCAAUUACUUUAAAAUACCUGGUUUAGGAGACAACCAGAAUAUUGUUUCUUUGCUCAGGAAGCAAUCCUUUUGAAACUAUGGGGAAAAAAAUGAAAGGAAAAACUAAACCAUUACCUGAGAUCUGUGAAUUUUCAUAGUGUUAAGCAAACUUUAAGAAAGAAAACUAAGAGGUUUGGGAAAUAAAGACCAAUUUAACAAGAGAAUUUUUACCUGGCAGUACUGUUUAUUUCGCCGAUAUAAUGGCCCAGUUAGAGUUUUAUUUUAAUAGCCUAUUUAUUUUAGCAGUACUUAUACCCUGAAUGGAUUUGAAAAAUGAGUACAUAGAUUUUUUUAGAAAUUCUAAAAGUACGUAAAGAUUUAAUGAUGUGUUAAAAAGUCAAAGAGUCUUUAUAAUUCACAAAAGUCUGUUCACAGUUGAAAAGGGAGGAAGGCCUCACUACCUCUACAUUUGUUAAAUUAUAAGAAAACCUGUACAUUAAUCUUUGGAGCAAUUUUGGAGGAACAAGGAAACUGCAAUUUAUAGUGGUACACUUAUAUACCAAGAGAUGCUAUGUGGGACUUUACUAAAAGGUGUAUGGUUUUGUUUUAAAUCGAACAGUAAUUUUCUGGUUGUUUUCCCUUUUAACACUCAGCUCUACUAAGGAGUCAGAUUGUGUUCUGUCUAUGAUGAGGUGGUAGGGGAAUGGGAUAAUUUUAUUCAGAGAUGGAUAUUUGCUCCUGACAAAAUGAUCUUUUUUAGCAUGUAUCAAUGUACUCUGAAAAUUGAGUAUUAGAUUGCAUGAGCACUGCUUCCAAUAUAUUUUUUUAAAUAAGAGUAUGCGAGAAUUGCAAACAAACAAAAAACUUAGAACUUUGGUAUAAAGUGGCCUGAAGAAUGAAAGCUAGAGAAUUUCAAACAGGUUUUUGAAAAUGAGGUUAGGAUCAGGGGUAUCAUUAUAGUUUAGGGUUGGCUGGAAGCACAUACUAAAAUGGACUUUCUCAAGCAAGUGGUUGGAUAGGAAGUACUCUCGGGACUAACAUCUGUGAGGGAAUGAGAGGAACAGGGCUGGGCAGGGAGAGGGGUUGAACUGUUGAGAUAGUUGCAGCAGAAGCUUCAUCUGGCACAAGUGAAACUCUGGGUCUGGGAUAAACACUUCAGAGAUGUCCCUGAUUGAGGUAAGGUGGUGCAUGCUGCUCCUUAAAAGAAGGUGUAAACUUGGGUCAGGCAGAGACCUUCUUCAGAGGGCAAUUUGGCCAAGACCUCAGCCCUUGAUCUUUUAAAUACUGAACUAAUUCUUGAGAUACAAUCGAGGUAUUUAAUAUCUUGGCUGGGAGUUUCAGAGGCUCCCAUUUGGCUUUCCCCACUGUGAUAGCUCUUGCCUCACAAACUAUGGAACCCAUGUGGGAAUUCUGACAACUGUACUGUAUAUCCACUCCAAUAGUACAUUUAGGGACCAAGGAAGUCACCACUGAAGCCAGCCAGGCCAGGAUAUUACUUCCUGGCUUCCACAUUCCCUCAUUAUAACAGCGCUGGAGACAGGGAGGAGACAUGCUGAUAUUUUAGUUUCCUUGGUGUAGGUGUCAACUCAAGCACUGUGUUAAGAAUCAUAAAAAACAAAACAGAACAAUAACAGACAACUACCUCUUCCUUUUCUCUGUGCUUGCUUUAGUAAAUGGUCACAGGUUCCUUUGGUAAGGAGUUGGAGGAAACUUUACAAUAUACCCAUUUCUCUAG
RNAcentral lists this long non-coding RNA (5330 nucleotides) under Sus scrofa (pig). RNAcentral describes it as "lncRNA (ENSSSCG00065065150.1)". The record is from RNAcentral. Lineage: Eukaryota; Metazoa; Chordata; Mammalia; Artiodactyla; Suidae.